Molecule: ribosomal RNA, 878 nt
Filed under: human gut metagenome
Description: bacterial SSU rRNA
Rfam family: Bacterial small subunit ribosomal RNA
Source: RNAcentral
AGAGUUUGAUCCUGGCUCAGGAUGAACGCUGGCGGCGUGCUUAACACAUGCAAGUCGAACGAUUAACCCGCCCUCGGGCGGUUAUAGAGUGGCGAACUGGUGAGUAACACGUGACCAACCUGCCCCUUGCUCCGGGAUAACCCAGGGAAACCUCGGCUAAUACCGGAUACUCCGCGCAGCCCGCAUGGGGGGCGCGGGAAAGCCCAGACGGCAAGGGAUGGGGUCGCGGCCCAUUAGGUAGACGGCGGGGUAACGGCCCACCGUGCCCGCGAUGGGUAGCCGGGUUGAGAGACCGAUCGGCCACAUUGGGACUGAGAUACGGCCCAGACUCCUACGGGAGGCAGCAGUGGGGAAUUUUGCGCAAUGGGGGAAACCCUGACGCAGCAACGCCGCGUGCGGGACGAAGGCCUUCGGGUUGUAAACCGCUUUCAGCAGGGAAUAUAGUGAAGGUACCUGCAGAAGAAGCUCCGGCUAACUACGUGCCAGCAGCCGCGGUAAUACGUAGGGAGCGAGCGUUAUCCGGAUUCAUUGGGCGUAAAGCGCGCGUAGGCGGCCCGUCAAGCGGGGUUUCAAAUCCAGGGGCUCAACCUCUGGCCGGACCCCGAACUGGCGGGCUCGAGUGCGGUAGAGGAAGGUGGAAUUCCCAGUGUAGCGGUGAAAUGCGCAGAUAUUGGGAAGAACACCGAUGGCGAAGGCAGCCUUCUGGGCCGCCACUGACGCUGAGGCGCGAAAGCUAGGGGAGCGAACAGGAUUAGAUACCCUGGUAGUCCUAGCCGUAAACGAUGGGCACUAGGUGUGGGGGAGCAUCUCCUCCGUGCCGCAGCCAACGCAUUAAGUGCCCCGCCUGGGGAGUACGGCCGCAAGGCUAAAACUCAAAG